Molecule: long non-coding RNA, 279 nt
Organism: Amblyraja radiata (thorny skate)
Lineage: Eukaryota; Metazoa; Chordata; Chondrichthyes; Rajiformes; Rajidae
Exons: 2
Source: RefSeq, a predicted model, not a curated record
GGGGGGAGAGGAGAGGGGGGGGGGGGGGGGAGAGAGAAAGAGGAGGGGAGAGAUUGUAGAAGUGACUUAAACUUAGAGAAUUCAACGUUCAUACCGCUGGAUUGUACUUAGAAAUUAGAGAAUACAAUGUACACUCCAGCAUUUUGUGUAUAUCUUUGGUUUAAACCAGCAUCAGCAGUUCCUUCCUACACAUUAAGUCAGCAAGCAAUUGAGAAUUAGAAGCAGGCAGAGGGAGCUAAAUCUAUCUACCAAGCUGAAUAGUAGUUUGAAAAAUUUUCA